This 723-nucleotide ribosomal RNA is filed under the name uncultured bacterium. Its description in RNAcentral is "bacterial SSU rRNA". It matches the Rfam family "Bacterial small subunit ribosomal RNA", at positions 9 to 691 of the family's 1533-position model. The record is from RNAcentral.
UAGUUUGAUCCUGGCUCAGGAUGAACGCUGGCGGCGUGCCUAAUACAUGCAAGUCGAGCGGUAAGGCUUGGCACAGUUUGCUUCUCACGUUUCAGUGAUGAAACAGCGGGUUCUGUUGGCUAACAGAUCGCGAGCAAGGAGCAUAGUGUGCUGAGUACACGAGCGGCGGACGGCUGAGUAACACGUAGGAACGUACCCCAAACUGAGGGAUAAGCACCAGAAAUGGUGUCUAAUACCGCAUGUGCUCUAAGGAGUAAAGCUUCGGCGGUUUGGGAACGGCCUGCGCAUGAUUAGCUUGUUGGUGAGGUAAAAGCUCACCAAGGCGACUAUCAUUAGCUGGUCUGAGAGGAUGACCAGCCAGACUGGGACUGAGAACGGCCCAGACUCCUACGGGAGGCAGCAGUAGGGAAUUUUCCACAAUGGGCGAAAGCCUGAUGGAGCAACGCCGCGUGCAAGAUGAAACCCUUCGGGGCGUAAACUGCUUUUAUCUGUGAAGAUUUUGACGGUAGCAGAUGAAUAAGGAUCGGCUAACUCCGUGCCAGCAGCCGCGGUCAUACGGAGGAUCCAAGCGUUAUCCGGAAUUACUGGGCGUAAAGAGUUGCGUAGGUGGCAGGAUAAGUUGGUAGUGAAAUUGUGUGGCUCAACCAUACACCCAUUACUAAAACUAUUCAGCUAGAGGGCGAGAGAGGUAGCUAGAAUUCCUAGUGUAGGAGUGGAAUCCGU